GGGCCCGCACAAGCAGUGGAGCAUGUGGUUUAAUUCGAUGCAACGCGAAGAACCUUACCAGGGUUUGACAUCCUGCGAAUCUCUUGGAAACAGGAGAGUGCCUUCGGGAACGCAGUGACAGGUGGUGCAUGGCUGUCGUCAGCUCGUGUCGUGAGAUGUUGGGUUAAGUCCCGCAACGAGCGCAACCCACGUCUUUAGUUGCCAGCAUUUAGUUGGGCACUCUAGGGAGACUGCCGGUGACAAACCGGAGGAAGGUGGGACGACGUCAAGUCAUCAUGGCCCUUAUGGCAGGCUACACCACGUGCUACGAAUGGCCGGUACAAAGGGCAGCGAAGCCGCAAGGUGGAGCGAAUCUCACAAACGGUCGU
This 368-nucleotide ribosomal RNA is filed under the name uncultured bacterium. RNAcentral's name for it is "bacterial SSU rRNA". It matches the Rfam family "Bacterial small subunit ribosomal RNA", at positions 917 to 1289 of the family's 1533-position model. The record is from RNAcentral.